UACAGAGGUCCCGAGCGUUGUUCGGAUUCAUUGGGCGUAAAGGGUGCGUAGGUGGCGCGCUAAGUCGGGUGUGAAAUUUCGGAGCUUAACUCCGAAACUGCAUUCGAUACUGGUGUGCUUGAGGACUGGAGAGGAGACUGGAAUUCAUGGUGUAGCAGUGAAAUGCGUAGAGAUCGUGAGGAAGACCAGUGGCGAAGGCGGGUCUCUGGACAGUUCCUGACGCUGAGGCGCGAAGGCCAGGGGAGCAAACGGG
RNAcentral lists this ribosomal RNA (253 nucleotides) under uncultured bacterium. Its description in RNAcentral is "partial 16S ribosomal RNA". It matches the Rfam family "Bacterial small subunit ribosomal RNA", at positions 524 to 776 of the family's 1533-position model. The record is from RNAcentral.